UCGGUGGGGGAUUAGUGGCGAACGGGUGAGUAACACGUGGGCAAUCUGCCCUUCACUCUGGGACAAGCCCUGGAAACGGGGUCUAAUACCGGAUACGACCACUUCAGGCAUCUGAUGGUGGUGGAAAGCUCCGGCGGUGAAGGAUGAGCCCGCGGCCUAUCAGCUUGUUGGUGAGGUAAUGGCUCACCAAGGCGACGACGGGUAGCCGGCCUGAGAGGGCGACCGGCCACACUGGGACUGAGACACGGCCCAGACUCCUACGGGAGGCAGCAGUGGGGAAUAUUGCACAAUGGGCGAAAGCCUGAUGCAGCGACGCCGCGUGAGGGAUGACGGCCUUCGGGUUGUAAACCUCUUUCAGCAGGGAAGAAGCGAAAGUGACGGUACCUGCAGAAGAAGCGCCGGCUAACUACGUGCCAGCAGCCGCGGUAAUACGUAGGGCGCAAGGCUUGUCCGGAAUUAUUGGGCGGAAAGAGCUCGUAGGCGGCUUGUCACGUCGGAUGUGAAAGCCCGGGGUUAACCCGGUCUUGCAUUCG
RNAcentral lists this ribosomal RNA (533 nucleotides) under Streptomyces sp. 277. Its description in RNAcentral is "bacterial SSU rRNA". It matches the Rfam family "Bacterial small subunit ribosomal RNA", at positions 80 to 629 of the family's 1533-position model. Lineage: Bacteria; Bacillati; Actinomycetota; Actinomycetes; Kitasatosporales; Streptomycetaceae. The record is from RNAcentral.